GUUGGGUGUGGUGGCGCACGCCUGUAGUCCCAGCUACUUGGGAGGCUGAGGCAGGAGAAUUGCUUGAACCCAGGAGGUGGAGGUUGCAGUGAGUUGAGAUCGUACCACUGCACUCCAGCCUGGGCGACAGAGUGAGACUCUGUCUCAA
RNAcentral lists this non-coding RNA (148 nucleotides) under Gorilla gorilla gorilla (western lowland gorilla). Lineage: Eukaryota; Metazoa; Chordata; Mammalia; Primates; Hominidae. The record is from Rfam by way of RNAcentral.